CGUGUAGGCGGGUGUUUAAGUCAGGGGUGAAAUGCCAAGGCUCAACCUUGGAACUGCCUUUGAUACUGGACACCUUGAGUCCGGGAGAGGUGAGUGGAACUGCGAGUGUAGAGGUGAAAUUCGUAGAUAUUCGCAAGAACACCAGUGGCGAAGGCGGCUCACUGGCCCGGAACUGACGCUGAGACGCGAAAGCGUGGGGAGCAAACAGGAUUAGAUACCCUGGUAGUCCACGCUGUAAACGAUGGAUGCUAGCCGUUGGGGAGCUUGCUCUUCAGUGGCGCCGCUAACGCUUUAAGCAUCCCGCCUGGGGAGUACGGUCGCAAGAUUAAA
RNAcentral lists this ribosomal RNA (330 nucleotides) under uncultured bacterium. RNAcentral describes it as "bacterial SSU rRNA". It matches the Rfam family "Bacterial small subunit ribosomal RNA", at positions 568 to 898 of the family's 1533-position model. The record is from RNAcentral.